Molecule: long non-coding RNA, 1066 nt
Organism: Neltuma alba
Lineage: Eukaryota; Viridiplantae; Streptophyta; Magnoliopsida; Fabales; Fabaceae
Exons: 3
Source: RefSeq, a predicted model, not a curated record
UUGUGAUGUAGCUGACAUUCUGACAAUAUGAUUUAUUGCAAACUGGAGGCAUUGUUCUAGUAAUAUAAGUAAAUGUAGUUUCUAAUGUGCUUGACACACAAUUUUAAUGUGAGAGCAUGCUAAGAAGGUUGAAUUACUUGAUGGAUUUAAAGAAUUGACUUGAUAACUAAUCACAAUUUUUUUUAUGGUGAAGGAGUCAUGACUGUUUUGCACCGUAUGAUUGUGGCCAAUAACAGAAUUUGGAUUCUUAUCCUGGUCGUGGUGCUGAAGUGGAAAGCAUCUCUCAAUUUGGGGAUGUUAUUAUCAGCCUGGACCACUAUGAGCUUGGAUCACAACAAUUGGUAUCUAUUUUAUGGUUGCCCUUGCAUUAUGCAGGGAGCUGCAAGGUAAUACUGCUUUGCACCGUGCAAUGUGAUCCAAUGUGAAAGGAGAGGGACCAACUGGUUCGGGUCUUGCCUGCUUGAAGUUGAUAUUGCCAAGACUUUCGGAUGAGAUGACACAACAGUAGUGAAGGCAAUGUACACUGUAAGCAAAGCUGGGGAUUUCCCAUUUGCUGCUCAAAGACGCCAUUGGAACUCAUUUUCAGCCCUUCCUACUUCCCUUGAAUUUAACCUGAGAAUCAUUACUCUGGUGUGAAGCAGAUGCGACUUGGAACCUUACGAGACCAUAUGCUUGCAGAUUGUGAUGCUAUUCAAUUGCAGACACAGCUGAAUUUGAACAUGUCCUAAGUCAUUUGUCUUGAUUGUGUUAGCUGGUUGAUUACACGCCGGGAUUUCAAGGUGCUGUAUCGACUCGAGUACACUCAUAUAGCAUGAUCAACUAUUCGAUAUGUGUACAUAUAUACUACUAGUAUGUGAUUGUAAAUAGCUUUUGAGCCUUUUCUUGCCUUGGAUCCCAAGGGGGAACAUGGAUAAUAGCGUCUGAAUAUACUAGGAUACGCAUAAUAGUUGCCUUUUAGUACUUGAUUCUGAGGUAGUCAAAUUUAUCUAUACUGUUGCUUUAAAUGUGGACAAAAUUAAGAUUAAAUUACUUAUCUUUGUUAAGUUAGUGCAUAUAUGCAUUUUAA